GGUAAGAUUGAUGACUGGGGUUAAGUCGUAACAAGGUAGCUGUAGGUGAACCUGCAGAAGGAUCA
Molecule: ribosomal RNA, 65 nt
Filed under: uncultured eukaryote
Lineage: Eukaryota
Description: partial small subunit ribosomal RNA
Source: RNAcentral